Dermacentor silvarum is the source of this 1312-nucleotide long non-coding RNA. RefSeq lists it as uncharacterized. NCBI's taxonomy places the organism in Eukaryota, Metazoa, Arthropoda, Arachnida, Ixodida, Ixodidae. The record is from RefSeq and is a predicted model, not a curated record. The transcript is spliced from 3 exons.
CAGAAGGCAUUCCUUUUGUCUUGCUUGCCAUCCUAUUACACUUACAUUGCGAGAUCUGUCCGGAGGGUGCCUUAUGGCCUAAAUGUUUGUUCAUGCACAUCAGGUUUGCUCUGUUGUAAUCAUUAACUUGUUUUUUUUGUUUCAGAAUUUCAGUCUCAGGUACUCCGGCUGCUAAACAUUGUGAGGCUGACUGCACAGGAAAUUUUGAGCAAUCUGGAUGCCUGUAUGGCUCAAGGCAAGGUGACCUCUGCACCCGCUCUACUAGUGCAGCAGCCGUUUGAGACGGUGGAUGCGCUGCUGAACUUUGAAGCAUCACUUGGUCCAGAGGAUGUUAAUGUCUUGGUGAGCUGAAAUAUCUUCUAGCCGCAAUGCCACUCACGUGUACGCAGUCUCCUUUAAGAAAAUAUGCCACCGGUCGACUAAGAUCACUUCGUGCAAAAUUCCUUGAAUGAUUAUUUGUGGGCUUUUCAGUUAUUUGGUUUCAUGUUCACAUUCUUUGAUGGCAUGAUUUUCUUCGAGGGAACGUAAUGUGCAAACAUGCGCAUUAUCUGCCUUGUUAGAAAUGGCACUGGGGCACGUGUUGCCUAUUUUAUUAUUUUAUGUACACCUGUACAUCUACUUUCUCUGCAGAGUGUACAUUGAAAGUGCAGAACUCUUACGUGUGUGAAAAUGAUUUAGUGUUAGAAUAUUGAACCUGGUUGGCUUCCUUCUGUUUUUUCAGAUCAACGAACUUGUGCAACUUGGGGGCAGAAACCCAAAUGCGGCAGUUAAGCGUAUGCUUGCUUACCUCUUUGCCGAUAAGCUGGCUGCUGAAUACUCGUGGCAUGGGAAGAAAGGAAAAAGGAAGUUCUCUGAUCUUCGACUGUGUCAGCAUUUGUUUACUGCUGUCAGGAAGCGCUUCCCACAAAGUACACGAGAUGAUGUCGAGUCAACCACUAAAUCAUGGCUUCGUCAUGCUCCUGAGAGGACUAAUGGAAGAGAUGGGGCCAGAGAUACGUGAAGGGUUGUUGGAUUGCAGAAGUACGACCGUCACAGGAAGUCGUGUUGUGUGCUGAAGACUUGCAUGCUGAAGUUGCAUGCCAGACCCAUGAACACCCACAUACAAGUGCCUUCAAGUUCCACAAGUUCAAGCACCUGAUAAUUUAUUGUAUUCAAAUGCUAUGAGUAGCAUUCUAGUCUCCCAAAGUCUGUUCUAAUUUUUUAAACAUACAGAGCUGUACUUCCUUUAUGUGUAGCUUUGUUCUGCUUACAAGACUUAUUUUAAGAUUGUAUUUUUAUCUCUUCAGUUGCAUUUGGGGGCCAUGACGAAUGU